GGUCUUAUAGUGUAGUUGGUUAGCACACGGGAUUCUGAUAAGAAGCUUUCCCGGGACCCCGGUUCGAGUCCGGGUAGGACCU
RNAcentral lists this transfer RNA (82 nucleotides) under Trichodelitschia bisporula. It matches the Rfam family "tRNA". From Rfam's summary of the family: Transfer RNA (tRNA) molecules are approximately 80 nucleotides in length. Their secondary structure includes four short double-helical elements and three loops (D, anti-codon, and T loops). The record is from Rfam by way of RNAcentral. Lineage: Eukaryota; Fungi; Ascomycota; Dothideomycetes; Phaeotrichales; Phaeotrichaceae.